Molecule: transfer RNA, 72 nt
Filed under: Capra hircus (goat)
Lineage: Eukaryota; Metazoa; Chordata; Mammalia; Artiodactyla; Bovidae
Also listed under: 1 other name
Rfam family: tRNA
About the family: Transfer RNA (tRNA) molecules are approximately 80 nucleotides in length. Their secondary structure includes four short double-helical elements and three loops (D, anti-codon, and T loops).
Source: Rfam by way of RNAcentral
UCCCUGGUGACUUAGACAGUAAAGAAUCUGCCUGCAAUGCAGACGACCCAAGUUCAAUCCCUGGACUGGGAA